UGCACGCCAUUGACGCGGCUACACAACCGCGCUUUUACCUGUCAUAAACUUUCAUUGGCUAUUCCGCAGUUAUUGGGUAUGGAUUCUCUAUGACCAUUGGUUCAAAUGCAUGCUUUACUUUCGCUGAUUGGUCCAAACAUAGGUCAUCGCUCGUGAAUGCGGAAGUCGUGUWGUCUACUGAGUCACCGUUGUAUCAGCUGAUUCUUUCUGAGAGACGUCGCUGACUCAGCGGAGCCCGGUAGAGGGGAGGAGAGACUGAGGGAGCUGGAGAGAAGCCAGUAUGAUUGGUGCAGAACAACAGACUGACAGCAUGGGUGAAGAGGGGCCCCCUAGUCUGGAGUACAUCCAAGCCAAGGACCUGUUCCCCCCGAAGGAGCUGGUCAGUGAGGACGACAACCUG
Molecule: long non-coding RNA, 400 nt
Organism: Salvelinus sp. IW2-2015
Lineage: Eukaryota; Metazoa; Chordata; Actinopteri; Salmoniformes; Salmonidae
Source: RefSeq, a predicted model, not a curated record